This is a long non-coding RNA of Mus musculus (house mouse), 546 nucleotides long. RefSeq annotates it as predicted gene, 40657. The record is from RefSeq and is a predicted model, not a curated record. The transcript has 3 exons. NCBI's taxonomy places the organism in Eukaryota, Metazoa, Chordata, Mammalia, Rodentia, Muridae.
CUGACACAUGAAUCAUUCUGGCAGCUGGCAUUCUCCUGCAGCAUUCUGUGAAAAAAACACAAACAUGUCCUCUUUCUGAUCAGGAUCUGCCAUAUGCCAACAAGUGGAUCCUUCCACCUCACUUAGGCAGCUUGAAGUGUAUCUUUCCACGUAUUCUUGGCUUUGAUGAGAGAACAGAUAUUCUUCUAAUGUUUCUGCUAACAUAGAUGCCAGAACAAUUUCAUGAAGAGGAAACAAACUGCUGAACUCGUAACCACAUCAAGCCAAAUGAGCUGUAGAAACACAGUUAAGAUAUCCAUAGCCCAUUACUACAUUAGCAGUGAUAACAAAUACGAAAUUGCAAGACUGUUACAGAACAUGCUAUAAAAGUAAAAUUUAUUUAAGAUGACUGUAGAGAUAGUAAUGAAAGACAUAAUGAAAAUGGAACAGGGUGAAAGAGGAGAGGUAAUAUUAAGAAAAUUAAAAAGACAGAAGAGAGGAGAAGGUGAAGAAUAUUGUCAAAGUGAGGAAGUAUAAAAAACUGGGAAAAAGGAAAAAUAAAAAGCA